Molecule: ribosomal RNA, 1500 nt
Filed under: metagenome
Description: bacterial SSU rRNA
Rfam family: Bacterial small subunit ribosomal RNA
Source: RNAcentral
AGAGUUUGAUCAUGGCUCAGAUUGAACGCUGGCGGCAGGCCUAACACAUGCAAGUCGAACGGUAACAGGAAGCAGCUUGCUGCUUCGCUGACGAGUGGCGGACGGGUGAGUAAUGUCUGGGAAGCUGCCUGAUGGAGGGGGAUAACUACUGAAAACGGUAGCUAAUACCGCAUAAUGUCGCAAGACCAAAGAGGGGGACCUUCGGGCCUCUUGCCAUCGGAUGUGCCCAGAUGGGAUUAGCUUGUUGGUGGGGUAACGGCUCACCAAGGCGACGAUCCCUAGCUGGUCUGAGAGGAUGACCAGCCACACUGGAACUGAGACACGGUCCAGACUCCUACGGGAGGCAGCAGUGGGGAAUAUUGCACAAUGGGCGCAAGCCUGAUGCAGCCAUGCCGCGUGUAUGAAGAAGGCCUUCGGGUUGUAAAGUACUUUCAGCGGGGAGGAAGGGAGUAAAGUUAAUACCUUUGCUCAUUGACGUUACCCGCAGAAGAAGCACCGGCUAACUCCGUGCCAGCAGCCGCGGUAAUACGGAGGGUGCAAGCGUUAAUCGGAAUUACUGGGCGUAAAGCGCACGCAGGCGGUUUGUUAAGUCAGAUGUGAAAUCCCCGGGCUCAACCUGGGAACUGCAUCUGAUACUGGCAAGCUUGAGUCUCGUAGAGGGGGGUAGAAUUCCAGGUGUAGCGGUGAAAUGCGUAGAGAUCUGGAGGAAUACCGGUGGCGAAGGCGGCCCCCUGGACGAAGACUGACGCUCAGGUGCGAAAGCGUGGGGAGCAAACAGGAUUAGAUACCCUGGUAGUCCACGCCGUAAACGAUGUCGACUUGGAGGUUGUGCCCUUGAGGCGUGGCUUCCGGAGCUAACGCGUUAAGUCGACCGCCUGGGGAGUACGGCCGCAAGGUUAAAACUCAAAUGAAUUGACGGGGGCCCGCACAAGCGGUGGAGCAUGUGGUUUAAUUCGAUGCAACGCGAAGAACCUUACCUGGUCUUGACAUCCACGGAAGUUUUCAGAGAUGAGAAUGUGCCUUCGGGAACCGUGAGACAGGUGCUGCAUGGCUGUCGUCAGCUCGUGUUGUGAAAUGUUGGGUUAAGUCCCGCAACGAGCGCAACCCUUAUCCUUUGUUGCCAGCGGUCCGGCCGGGAACUCAAGGGAGACUGCCAGUGAUAAACUGGAGGAAGGUGGGGAUGACGUCGAGUCAUCAUGGCCCUUACGACCAGGGCUACACACGUGCUACAAUGGCGCAUACAAAGAGAAGCGACCUCGCGAGAGCAAGCGGACCUCAUAAAGUGCGUCGUAGUCCGGAUUGGAGUCUGCAACUCGACUCCAUGAAGUCGGAAUCGCUAGUAAUCGUGGAUCGGAAUGCCACGGUGAAUACGUUCCCGGGCCUUGUACACACCGCCCGUCACACCAUGGGAGUGGGUUGCAAAAGAAGUAGGUAGCUUAACCUUCGGGAGGGCGCUUACCACUUUGUGAUUCAUGACUGGGGUGAAGUCGGAACAAGGUA